UCGGAUAUGGUGUAACGGCUAACAUUGCCGCCUUUCAUGUCUUUCCGCGGCAGCUCGGGGUUCGAUUCCCCGUAUCCGAA
Molecule: non-coding RNA, 80 nt
Organism: Desarmillaria tabescens
Lineage: Eukaryota; Fungi; Basidiomycota; Agaricomycetes; Agaricales; Physalacriaceae
Source: the annotation of a RefSeq genome assembly